This 482-nucleotide ribosomal RNA is filed under the name uncultured bacterium. RNAcentral's name for it is "partial 16S ribosomal RNA". It matches the Rfam family "Bacterial small subunit ribosomal RNA", at positions 30 to 507 of the family's 1533-position model. The record is from RNAcentral.
AUUGAACGCUGGCGGCAUGCUUUACACAUGCAAGUCGAACGGUAACAGGCCGCAAGGUGCUGACGAGUGGCGAACGGGUGAGUAAUGCAUCGGAACGUGCCCAGUCGUGGGGGAUAACUACUCGAAAGAGUAGCUAAUACCGCAUACGAUCUAUGGAUGAAAGCGGGGGACCGUAGGGCCUCGCGCGAUUGGAGCGGCCGAUGUCAGAUUAGGUAGUUGGUGGGGUAAAGGCUCACCAAGCCAACGAUCUGUAGCUGGUCUGAGAGGACGACCAGCCACACUGGGACUGAGGCACGGCCCAGACUCCUACGGGAGGCAGCAGUGGGGAAUUUUGGACAAUGGGCGCAAGCCUGAUCCAGCAAUGCCGCGUGCAGGAAGAAGGCCUUCGGGUUGUAAACUGCUUUUGUACGGAACGAAACGGCUCUGGUUAAUACCCGGGGCUAAUGACGGUACCGUAAGAAUAAGCACCGGCUAACUACGUG